Molecule: ribosomal RNA, 604 nt
Filed under: uncultured bacterium
Lineage: Bacteria
Description: bacterial SSU rRNA
Rfam family: Bacterial small subunit ribosomal RNA (bases 1-523)
Source: RNAcentral
CCUACGGGAGGCAGCAGUGGGGAAUAUUGCACAAUGGGCGCAAGCCUGAUGCAGCGACGCCGCGUGAGGGAUGACGGCCUUCGGGUUGUAAACCUCUUUCAGUAGGGAAGAAGCGAAAGUGACGGUACCUGCAGAAGAAGCGCCGGCUAACUACGUGCCAGCAGCCGCGGUAAUACGUAGGGCGCAAGCGUUAUCCGGAAUUAUUGGGCGUAAAGAGCUCGUAGGCGGUUUGUCGCGUCUGCCGUGAAAGUCCGGGGCUCAACUCCGGAUCUGCGGUGGGUACGGGCAGACUAGAGUGAUGUAGGGGAGACUGGAAUUCCUGGUGUAGCGGUGAAAUGCGCAGAUAUCAGGAGGAACACCGAUGGCGAAGGCAGGUCUCUGGGCAUUAACUGACGCUGAGGAGCGAAAGCAUGGGGAGCGAACAGGAUUAGAUACCCUGGUAGUCCAUGCCGUAAACGUUGGGCACUAGGUGUGGGGGACAUUCCACGUUUCCGCGCCGUAGCUAACGCAUUAGUCGCCCGCGUGGGGAGGUACGGCCGCGAGACGUAACGUACGAAGAAGUUAGUAGCGUUGNGAGNGCGACGGACGACGACGAGGGAGGAGG